GGAAAAGUCAUAAAAAAAGUGUGUUUACUUAUUGUGGAUGAAUUUUUCAGGUAAUGGCUAGAACCAAGGGGCAUUUAAGCAAUGAAGAAAGGUUGAAGCGGAAGAGAGUGUGUGAGAAAAGGAGGCGUGAAAAUAUGAAAAAAGAUCCGGAUAAAUUAAGAGCCCUGAAAGAAAAAAAGCAUGAAAUCUACUUAAAAGCAAAAGAGUCUGGAAAAGUUAAGUUGGUGAAAGACAUGAAUUCACGUGAGAAAAGAAUGUACAAGAAGAAGUGGAGAACAGAAAAAAAAUGCUACAGACAAAAGAAAAAAGAAUGCGAAGGACAUAUGAACACCAGUGACUUCAAAUGAAGAAACAAGUGACCAUGCAAGUACACCACAUCUACCAACAGUUGCAGAAACUUUGAACACAUCACAAAGUAUAAAGGAACAUGGAAGUAGCCAGAAAAAAAGGGGUAGGAAACAAGUUCGUCGGGACAGAGCAAAAGCUUACCGUCAAAUAAAUAAACUCAAAGCCCAAAAUGAGAAACUCAGAAAAAAAUAUGAAAAGUAUAAGAAACGAUACCAAAGAAGUAGGUUAGGUGUAAGCAGCAAGCAAGAUUUGACAACUAAAACUAAGGUAAAUACAUUAUUAAGAGGGAGAAAUGUUGGAAAGGAUAUCAGAAAAAAGCUUCUGUUUGGUGAAGUGAUUUACAAAGAGUUAUCAGAAAACUAUAAGAGAUUAAAAUCACAUGAGAAAGAGAAGCAAAUAUUUACUAAAGCCAUAUCUGGAAAGAUUAUCAAGAAGUAUAGAAUGGCAAAAGAAGCAAAGAAGUUUCUUUCUCGUUCAAUUGCAAAGGGCAACACAAAGCGAUCCAAGAACUAAUGUUAUGAAAGAAUGAAAAGGAAUAGAGUAAAGUACAUUAAAUAUUUGGUAACAACUUUUCUGGAACAGGAUGACAACUCAUGUUUAUGUCCUGGAAAGAAAUACAUGAUUUCAAGGAAAGGUAAACAGAAGCAAAAGAGAUAUUUGACAGACACUAUUAGAAAUCUCCACCUCAAGUUCCAACAAAUUCAGAGUUUCCAAAUAAGCUAUACUGUCUUUUGUAGACUGCGUCCCUUUUGGAUAAUAGCACCAAAGGUGAAUGAUCGAGACACAUGCCUUUGUGUUAAACAUGAGAACUUUAAAUUGAUAGUGCGGAAAAUGCAUUUGUUGAAAAUUUUUGACACCAAUGAUGAAGGGAAGGUAAUUAAAAUGUUGAUGUGUGAGAAAGAAACAGAAGAUUAUUACAGAAGGGUGUGUACUCGUUCUAAAUAUAAAACUUUGUGUUACAAAGUCUUUGACUAUCACCAACUGACUUUAAAGCAGUGGAUAACUAAGAAAGAGAAAGUUAUAAGUAAAAAGACAAAAUUAGAGAUUGAAGUAAAGAAGACUGUGAAAGAUGAAGUUCAUUUAAAUGUGGGUGAUUUUGUGGACAUGUUUUAAAAUAGUAUAGUGAGUUUCAUGCAACACAAGUUCAACAUCAAACAUCCGUAUUCAGUCAUGUCAAAACUAAAGAAGAAUUUACAGUGUACAGACAUCCUAUUCCACAUAGAUUUCUCGGAAAAUUAUAUGUGCAAAUAUGCUGCUGAAGCAGUGUGUUCACUUUAGGGCAGUGUGUUCACUUUAGGGCUUCGAGGGAACAGGUCACCCUUCACACUGGUGUAGUUUAUGCAGAAGGUAGCGUUAAAGAGUCAUUUUGCACUUUAUCUAAAAGCCAUCGUCAUGACGCCUUUGCCAUAGUGGCACAUAUGUCUCCAAUAAUACAGAAGUAUUUAGCUAAGUUUCCAGAUGUUAGAAACCUCCAUUUCUAUUCAGACAGUCCAAGUACACAGUAUCGUAAUAAAACCAUGUAUGCAAUGAUCAAAACUUACAUUCUCAGCAUAUUUCCUGGAAUUGAAAAAAUUUCUUGGAAUUAUUCAGAAUCUGGACAUGGUAAGGGGGCCCCGGAUGGCAUAGGAGGUCUUCUAAAACGUACUGCAGAUCGCCUGGUUGCAGAAGGCAAUGAUAUUUCGAACUUGGAGGUUCUCUUAAGUUCAUUAAUGGCGAACAUUUCUGGUGUGCACAUGGAAGCUGUGAGCGAGGAAGCUGUAAUGGAAAUAGAAUGUAAGGUUGAUAAAGAAACUAUUAUAUUUUUUGCAGGGUCUAUGAAGGUCCAUCAAGUCUGUUGGACAAAGACAAGUAGGCAUUUAAUGUUCCGAGAAUUAGGGUGCUUUGAAUGUCCAACAGAUACAGUAUGCAAGCACUACCAUCUGGGAAUGCAGAUUCCAACUUCAUUAUCAGAUUGUACAAAAGCCUCUAAAGGUUCCAGAGUCUCCUAUGAAAUUGGUAGUUGUGGCCUAUGAUGGAAUUCACUACCCAGGCGAAGUCACAUCAGUAAAUUUUGAUGACGUUGAGGUCAUGGUAAUGCAUCCUACAGUAGGAGGAAAGUACAAAUGGCCAGCACAGAAGGACACAAUGAAAUAUCCUUUUUUUGAUGUGGUGAAAAAGAUUGGCAAUCCUGUACCAUGUAGUUCUCGAGCAACAACCUUUACUUUUCCAGUUUUGCAGUUUUAAUUUUUCUGUUAAAAUUGUGAAGUAAUUUUUAAUGCAUAUUAAUUUCAGUAAUAAAGUUUAUUUUGUA
Molecule: long non-coding RNA, 2638 nt
Organism: Bacillus rossius redtenbacheri
Lineage: Eukaryota; Metazoa; Arthropoda; Insecta; Phasmatodea; Bacillidae
Exons: 2
Source: RefSeq, a predicted model, not a curated record